Long non-coding RNA from Mizuhopecten yessoensis (Yesso scallop), 249 nucleotides. RefSeq lists it as uncharacterized. The record is from RefSeq and is a predicted model, not a curated record. The transcript has 2 exons. Lineage: Eukaryota; Metazoa; Mollusca; Bivalvia; Pectinida; Pectinidae.
GCUACUCCUGCUUCGUUAACGCGGUGGACUUGUGGGCAGUAUGUUGUCCAGAGUAAACGGUAUACUGGGCUGCCUCUGCCGGGUUAACAGGUUUGAGGCUUCAGACAUAUGGGUUUUCUCCGGGUACUCCGGUUUCCUCCCAAAUGAAGACCCCCCGCGCGCUAACAUCCAGGCCAAAAAUAGUUAUGAAUAUAAGUGGAAUUAAGUAGUUUCAUAACUGUUAUGAAAUUAAAAAAAAAGUUAUUAUUU